RNAcentral lists this ribosomal RNA (301 nucleotides) under uncultured bacterium. RNAcentral's name for it is "partial 16S ribosomal RNA". It matches the Rfam family "Bacterial small subunit ribosomal RNA", at positions 509 to 807 of the family's 1533-position model. The record is from RNAcentral.
CAGUCGCCACGGUAAUACGUAGGUGGCAAGCGUUGUCCGGAAUUAUUGGGCGUAAAGGGCUCGCAGGCGGUUUCUUAAGUCUGAUGUGAGAGCCCCCGGCUCAACCGGGGAGGGUCAUUGGAAACUGGGAAACUUGAGUGCAGAAGAGGAGAGUGGAAUUCCACGUGUAGCGGUGAAAUGCCUAGAGAUGUGGAGGAACACCAGUGGCGAAGGCGACUCUCUGGUCUGUAACUGACGCUGAGGAGCGAAAGCGUGGGGAGCGAACAGGAUUAGAUACCCCAGUAGUCCCUGUCUCUUAUAC